Molecule: ribosomal RNA, 641 nt
Filed under: fungal endophyte
Lineage: Eukaryota; Fungi
Description: eukaryotic LSU rRNA
Rfam family: 5.8S ribosomal RNA (bases 183-336)
Source: RNAcentral
UCAUUAAAGAGUUCUAUAACUCCCAAACCCAUGUGAACAUACCUAACGUUGCCUCGGCAGGUCGCACCUACCUUGUAGCACCCUACCCUGUAGGGCCUACCCGGGAGGUGCGGGUAAGCCUGCCGGCGGCCCACCAAACUCUGUUUGAUAUUGAAUUCUGAACCUAUAACUAAAUAAGUUAAAACUUUCAACAACGGAUCUCUUGGUUCUGGCAUCGAUGAAGAACGCAGCGAAAUGCGAUAAGUAAUGUGAAUUGCAGAAUUCAGUGAAUCAUCGAAUCUUUGAACGCAUAUUGCGCCCAUUAGUAUUCUAGUGGGCAGGACCGUUCGAGCGUCAUUUCAACCCUUAAGCCUUCGUUGCUUAGUGUUGGGAGCCUACGGCAACGUAGCUCCUCAAAGUUAGUGGCGGAGUUGGUUCACACUCUAGACGUAGUAAUUUUUUAUCUCGCCUAUUAGUUGGACUAAUCCCCUGCCGUAAAACCCCUAAUUUAUCAAGGUUGACCUCGAAUCGGUUCAGACAAACUCGCUAAAUUGAAGCAUCUUAGUCAGCGAAGGAAAAGAAACCAACAGGGAUUGCCCUAGUAACGGCGAGUGAAGCGGCAACAGCUCAAAUUUGAAAUCUGGCCCUCGGGUCCGAGUUGU